CCUACGGGUGGCUGCAGUGAGGAAUAUUGGUCAAUGGGCGCAAGCCUGAACGAGCCAAGUAGCGUGAAGGAUGACGGCCCUCUGGGUUGUAAACUGCUUUUAUACGGGAAUAACGUGCAGUAAGUAUACUGCUUUGCAUGUACCUUAUUAAUCAGGACAGUCUAAAUCCGUGCCAGCAGCCGAGGGAAUACGUAGGGUCCGUGCGUUAUCCGGAUUUAUUGGGUUUAAAGGGAGCGUAGGCGGGCUGUUAAGCCAGGUGUGAAAGUUUGCGGCUCAACCGUGACAGUGCAGGGGAUACUGGCGUCCGUGAGGACAGUGGAGGUAGGAGGAAUGCGUGGGGUAGCGGUGAAAGGCU
This 355-nucleotide ribosomal RNA is filed under the name uncultured bacterium. RNAcentral's name for it is "partial 16S ribosomal RNA". It matches the Rfam family "Bacterial small subunit ribosomal RNA", at positions 338 to 690 of the family's 1533-position model. The record is from RNAcentral.